Molecule: transfer RNA, 16 nt
Filed under: Galaxias arcanus
Lineage: Eukaryota; Metazoa; Chordata; Actinopteri; Galaxiiformes; Galaxiidae
Description: partial tRNA-Phe
Source: RNAcentral
GAAAGCCCCGCAGGCA